UGCCUUCGGAACGUCUGACACAGGUGCUGCAUGGCUGUCGUCAGCUCGUGUCGUGAGAUGUUGGGUUAAGUCCGUAACGAGCGCAACCCUUGUCCUUAGUUACCAGCACGUUAUGGUGGGCACUCUAAGGAGACUGCCGGUGACAAACCGGAGGAAGGUGGGGAGUGACGUCAAGUCAUCAUGGCCCUUACGGCCUGGGCUACACACGUGCUACAAUGGUCGGUACAAAGGGUUGCCAAGCCGCGAGGUGGAGCUAAUCCCAUAAAACCGAUCGUAGUCCGGAUCGCAGUCUGCAACUCGACUGCGUGAAGUCGGAAUCGCUAGUAAUCGUGAAUCAGAAUGUCACGGUGAAUACGUUCCCGGGCCUU
RNAcentral lists this ribosomal RNA (368 nucleotides) under uncultured Pseudomonas sp. Its description in RNAcentral is "bacterial SSU rRNA". It matches the Rfam family "Bacterial small subunit ribosomal RNA", at positions 1014 to 1382 of the family's 1533-position model. Lineage: Bacteria; Pseudomonadati; Pseudomonadota; Gammaproteobacteria; Pseudomonadales; Pseudomonadaceae. The record is from RNAcentral.